AAAAAAAAAAAAAAGAUUUGUAGAAUCUUUUCCUAUUAUAUCGUAACAACACAUCCUCAUGUAAUCCCCACGCCCCUUAUUUACAGAAAAACCGUUUCAACGGGUCAUCACAGUCCCUUUUAUGCCUCUUCCAAUCUGGAGCGACCGCACCACCGCCAGCGACAAAAUCCAAAUAAUCGAUGAAGAUUCUGUAAUGUAGUUGAAAUAGAACCAUCAAACCUUGGGAUUUGGUUCAGCAAGAAAAAUGUCAUCGACAUGGAACUCAUUGUUGGAUGGUGAUGGCUCCACAGGUAAUUUCUUUAAUUUAAUCAUCAUUCACGCA
Erythranthe guttata (spotted monkey flower) is the source of this 322-nucleotide non-coding RNA. NCBI's taxonomy places the organism in Eukaryota, Viridiplantae, Streptophyta, Magnoliopsida, Lamiales, Phrymaceae. The record is from RefSeq and is a predicted model, not a curated record.